Molecule: ribosomal RNA, 461 nt
Filed under: uncultured bacterium
Lineage: Bacteria
Description: bacterial SSU rRNA
Rfam family: Bacterial small subunit ribosomal RNA
Source: RNAcentral
GGGCCCGCACAAGCGGUGGAUUAUGUGGUUUAAUUCGAUGAUACGCGAGGAACCUUACCAAGGCUUAAAUGGGAAUUGACAGAUUUAGAAAUAGAUCCUCCUUCGGGCAAUUUUCAAGGUGCUGCAUGGUUGUCGUCAGCUCGUGCCGUGAGGUGUUAGGUUAAGUCCUGCAACGAGCGCAACCCCUGUCACUAGUUGCUAGCAUUAAGUUGAGGACUCUAGUGAGACUGCCUACGCAAGUAGAGAGGAAGGUGGGGAUGACGUCAAAUCAUCACGGCCCUUACGCCUUGGGCCACACACGUAAUACAAUGGCCGGUACAGAGGGCAGCUACACAGCGAUGUGAUGCAAAUCUCGAAAGCCGGUCUCAGUUCGGAUUGGAGUCUGCAACUCGACUCUAUGAAGCUGGAAUCGCUAGUAAUCGCGCAUCAGCCAUGGCGCGGUGAAUACGUUCCCGGGCCUU